This 401-nucleotide ribosomal RNA is filed under the name uncultured bacterium. Its description in RNAcentral is "bacterial SSU rRNA". It matches the Rfam family "Bacterial small subunit ribosomal RNA", at positions 28 to 425 of the family's 1533-position model. The record is from RNAcentral.
GAUGGACGCUAGCGGCAGGCUUAAUACAUGCAAGUCGAGGGGCAGCAGGGGUAGCAAUACUCGCUGGCGACCGGCAAACGGGUGCGGAACACGUACGCAACCUUCCCAAAACUGGUGAAUAGCCCUCCGAAAGGAGGAUUAAUACACCGUACCAUAAUGAAGUGGCAUCACUUUAUUAUUAUAGCUCCGGCGGUUUUGGAUGGGCGUGCGCCUGAUUAGGUAGUUGGCGGGGUAACGGCCCACCAAGCCUGCGAUCAGUAACUGGUGUGAGAGCACGACCAGUCACACGGGCACUGAGACACGGGCCCGACUCCUACGGGAGGCAGCAGUAAGGAAUAUUGGUCAAUGGACGCAAGUCUGAACCAGCCAUGCCGCGUGAAGGAUGAAGGCCCUCUGGGUUG